GACUCAGACAGGCAGUGCUCAUCGCGGAGAGGGCCUCCGACAUUUGACUGGCCUUGUAACUGGAAUGCUGAAAUUAUCUGAGCGGGUACUUGGCCUCAUUUUAUAUGAAGGAAAUUUAAAUGCAGAAAGACUAAGAGAUUCAUCUAUGUUUCCAUAGACGGAAUAUGCUGCAGUUCAGAUGUGAAUUCAGGACACGUGAAUGUCCACAGUUUUGCACUCUCCUAUUGAUCUGCUUUUACGGGAUUUCAUCUUGGUUGCUAUGCUACCUCUCACAGAAGCAUCUGCAUUUAUUCGCUUCCAUUCUAGUCAACAAAAACUUAUGGAGAAUUGACUUUGUACCAGGGAUCUUUUAGGUGAGGAAACUGAAAGAGGAAAAAGACAUAGUCUCUGCACUAAAAGAGCUCCCAGUCUAUAGAGGGGACAGACACACCUACCUACUGGACAACAGACCCUCGUGCAGUAAACUAGAGAACUAUUCUAAAACUUUCAAAUGGUAGAAUGAAAGGCUUUAUACCAGUUAAAGGAGUUUAGACAUCAGCUGGCAGCUGGGGAGUGGUUUGGUGAUAUGACAGUGGACACUUGGCCUGCCUGAGAGGAGCAUGCGCUGGUCACAUAAGGUUGCCUGGGCAGAGAUCAGAAGAGAUGGACCUGGUGUCUCUCUCCCAGUUUCCUGUAUUCCCCAGGCAUGACAAGCCCACCCUCUGUGACUGCUGGUGGUCUGGUCCUGAUGAAUCUGAAUAAGACUUUGACUUAUGUAAACAGGAGGAAAUGGAAAAGCAAUCCUAUUAGGGUCAAAUAUCUUCAAGACGACACACUCGUACAUUGCCAAGAAAGACUCAGCAUAAUUCCCUUGUGUUUUUACACUACAAAAGGUCCUUGUCUCCUUUCUCUAGCUGGAGUUGCUUAAAUUUGAUAUGCACAUAACUUCAGAAGGGGGUAGACAGAGCCCAUGCCUCCUGGAAGGAGUGAGAAAUAGACCUAAACGAUCACAGUUCAUUCAUUGAUUUUGCAAAUAUUAUUGAUCAUUUACUUUAUGUCAAGCACUGGGGAUAAAGUAAAGCAGUUGGAUCUAGUUCCCUACCCUCCUGGAGCUUCUGAUCCAGAUUCCUAGAGCUGAAACAGGCUUUGAAGACCUCUCAAUUUGUGGUUUCCAAAUUAUCUACCAAAGGUCAUUAAUAUUCUAUGAAAUAUUAAUUGGUAUUUCUUGGAGUAGGAUGACGUGAGGAAUUGUGUUCCAUGGUCAAAUUAAGUUUGAAGUGUUAGGUUAAACAAAGUUACAUUAGUUUCUUCAUGCCAGGCUACUCAGAGCCUUUCUAUGUUAACACACAUUGUGACUCUCUGACGGUGAGGGGGAGAGGAUGAGAUGCAAUAUGAUCAUUUGCUUUCCCCACUUAUUUCAACACAAAUCUUUUCUGAAGAGUACCCAUUAAUAAAAACUGUUGGCAGAACAUACUUCUGUUAAUGCUUCCAAAGCCAAAACCUAAAUCCACGUUUCCUUCAGCACAUGAGGAAGCUGCAGUGACCUAGAAUGGUGAGGGGCAGAACUGAGGCAAGAACCUGGAUCUCCUUAUUAUUAUUUUCUUGAUCUUUUACCCAUUCCAUUCUGCCUGUUUCUACUCUCUUUCUCAUCCCCUGGAAAGACAUAUAAAAACAGUGUUUCUUCCUUCUUUAUUUACCUCCUUCUUAGAUCAUGGUAAUGGUGAUUGUCUUCUCACCUAUUUACUGGGUUUCUUUCUCUGCUGUCUAUAGCUUUGGGUCAUAAGCUCUUAAAAGUCAAAGACCAGCUUUUACACAAUAAACUCAUGAACGAUUAGUGAUCAGUAAAUGCUUGUAGCCAAAAAGCAAUGGUUGACAGCUUCCUAUGCACCUCUCCCCGCAGCCUCCCAUACACCUUCCUCCUGUAGAUUCUCUCUCCCUGUGCCAACCGAGAACUAUGGAGGCCUCUUUUCUCCUAUAACAAUAUCACCACUGAAAUAGGUUAUUCCUUCUAAACUGCUUUAAAAGUUUCACUAAUAAGUUUUAAAACUGAUUUUGCCUAUUACACAAGAGAUUGCUUAAUUAUUAAUACAAUUCACUCGUGAUUAACUAAGAAUACACAGACUAUUCAUUCUGUCAUACAGGCCAGGUUGUAGAUGAGAGUUUUUGUGAGUGUGAGAGAAUUUGGACUUAUGCGUGUAUGCGUUUAAUUUGAAAAUCUACUUAGCUACGAAUCAGGACAUAUGGACGUGAUUUUAGACUUUGGAAACUUGAGGGGGAAGAAACAAUCUCUGCUAUCUCGACAUUAAGAGGUGUGUAUCUCUGGCCCUAAUAAGCAAGGAGGGGCUGCUAUACUGCCACCUUGUGGUAAAUAUGCACAAAGCCAGUUAAAUAAAUACAACCAACCUUCUCCUUAGUGUGUUAUUACGUAAUGCCCAAAAGAGGAAAAUAUUUUUAUUAAAACAUUAUUCAGGAAAAUGAACUAUUUUAGCAUGUGGAUAAUUAAAUAUAUAUUACAACCUGUCCUAUGUGACAGAAUGAAUAUUC
Gorilla gorilla gorilla (western lowland gorilla) is the source of this 2523-nucleotide long non-coding RNA. RefSeq lists it as uncharacterized. Lineage: Eukaryota; Metazoa; Chordata; Mammalia; Primates; Hominidae. The record is from RefSeq and is a predicted model, not a curated record. The transcript is spliced from 3 exons.